CAGAUGAGACCACCGUAGAACAUGGUUUCUUCCAAAAGAAUGUUUGGCAGCUUUCUCGUGAGCCUGAGGGGAGACUGAGAAGUGGUUUCGUCUCUUUCCUAAUACAGGCUGCUUUUGAUAACUCUGCUCCUGGAUCAAAGCGGCAUUUUAAUUACAUGGAGUGUCUAAGCAAGAAUAGAUGACCUUAUUGACUUAUCUUCAAAUUCAUUGAAAUUUUCGACUAUCUGAUCGAAUCUCCGGUUAAGCAUCUCUGAUUCUUAAACAUAUGACAUUGAGGAUUCAUCUUCAGGGCUUUUAACUGCUGAGAAGAAAGGCAGGCAGAUAAAAGAACCUGAGAAAAUGGACAGCACUGUUGGGGGCUCGUGAGCUCCUGUCACAGGACUGAGCUUGAACAAUUUCGAUUAAAGCCCCAUGUUUGAGACUGUCAUUAGACCUGCAUUAAAUUACAUAUCUGGAGUGUUAAAAAAUAAAGAGUACAGGAGC
Molecule: long non-coding RNA, 483 nt
Organism: Ochotona princeps (American pika)
Lineage: Eukaryota; Metazoa; Chordata; Mammalia; Lagomorpha; Ochotonidae
Exons: 5
Source: RefSeq, a predicted model, not a curated record